RNAcentral lists this ribosomal RNA (937 nucleotides) under uncultured bacterium. RNAcentral describes it as "bacterial SSU rRNA". It matches the Rfam family "Bacterial small subunit ribosomal RNA", at positions 8 to 990 of the family's 1533-position model. The record is from RNAcentral.
AGAGUUUGAUCAUGGCUCAGAANGAACGCUGGCGGCAUGCCUAAUACAUGCAAGUCGUGCGGAAACACUUCGGGUGUCGAGCGGCGGACGGGUGAGUAACGCGUUAGUAUCUGCCCCAAACUGAGGGAUAAGCUAUCGAAAGAUAGUCUAGUACCACAUGUGGUCUUCGGAUUAAAGCCUUCGGGCGGUUUGGGAGGAGCUUGCGCCUGAUUAGCUAGUUGGUAAGGUAAUAGCUUACCAAGGCUACGAUCAGUAGCUGGUCUGAGAGGAUGAUCAGUCACACUGGAACUGAGACACGGUCCAGACUUCUACGGAAGGCAGCAGUAGGGAAUUUUCCACAAUGGGGGCAACCCUGAUGGAGCAAUGCCGCGUGCAGGACGAAGGCCUUCGGGUCGUAAACUGCUUUUAUAGGGGAUGAUUACGACAGUACCCUACGAAUAAGGAUCGGCAAACUCCGUGCCAGCAGCCGCGGUCAUACGGAGGAUCCAAGCGUUGUUCGGAAUUACUGGGCGUAAAGAGAUGCGUAGGCGGUCCGGCAAGUUUCUACUGAAAGCUCAAGGCUCAACCUUGAGACUAGUAGAAAAACUGCUGAACUAGAGAAUAUGAGGGGAACCUGGAAUUUCUGGUGUAGGAGUGAAAUCCGUAGAUAUCAGAAGGAACACCAAUGGCGAAGGCAGGGUUCUGGCAUAUUUCUGACGCUGAGGCUCGAAAGCGUGGGGAGCGAACGGGAUUAGAUACCCCGGUAGUCCACGCCGUAAACGAUGAACAAUAGCUAUUGAGGGGUAUCGACCCCCUUCGAAGCGAAGCUAACGCGUUAAGUGUUCCGCCUGAGGACUACGGCCGCAGGCUAAACUCAAGGAAUUGACGGGACCCGCACAGCGGUGGAGCGUGUUGUUUAAUUGGAUGAUAGCCAAGACCUUACCAGACUUGACAUCCU